Molecule: long non-coding RNA, 794 nt
Organism: Passer domesticus (house sparrow)
Lineage: Eukaryota; Metazoa; Chordata; Aves; Passeriformes; Passeridae
Exons: 4
Source: RefSeq, a predicted model, not a curated record
CAAACAGGGUCAUCCCAGAGCACAUGGCACAGAAUUGAGUCAAGACAGUUCUGGAAUAUCUCCAGUGAGAGGAACUCCACAUCCUUUCUGGGCAAUCUGCUCCAGGGUGUGGGCACCUGCAUGGAAAGUUCUUCACUUGGAACUUCCUGUGGAUCAGUCUCUGGCCAUUGCCUCUUUUCCUAAUGCUUGGCACCACUAAAAGGAGCCUCAGCUUCUUGACAGCCUCCCUUCAGGCACUUAAGAAAUUGAUGAGGUCCCAUAUCAGUAGUCUCUUAACAAGGCUGAACAGGACCAACUCAGCCUUUCCUCAUGAGACAGAUGCUCCCUUAAUCAUCUUUGAUUCCUUCCCAGACCUGCUUCAGAGCUCCAUGCCUCUCUUUUACUGAGGAGCCCAGAACUGGACACAGUAUUCCAGGCUGGCAAUCCAGUCUCACAUAUAAUGUGAGAAAUACCUUGUGUGACCUGACCUAUACAUCAAAGUGCCUACACAGAGUUCUCCUGACAGGACCAGAGACACUGCUUGCAGAAAGAUUGCUUUAUGGGCUCCAAGCUCACAGUAAGCUUUCAAAUAAGCAACUAGACCUCCACUGAUCUCCAGGAUAACUUGAACUGACAAAUUCAUGUGAAGAAUUUAAAGGAGAAGCAAAUUCUACAGUACAACAGUUGACCCGAUUCCUAUUGUUGCCAGUGUGGAUGGCUGGAGCAUGGAGUUGGGGGCACCCAGCAGCCCAGCUCCCUUCCCUCUUGGCCGGUUGCUGUCCCACACUGCUGGCCCCAGAAAGAGAAGAGGAGAG